GACGAACGCUGGCGGCGUGCUUAACACAUGCAAGUCGAACGGUGAAGCGCCUUCCUUUUUGGUGGGUGUGGAUGAGUGGCGAACGGGUGAGUAACACGUGAGUAACCUGCCCCCUUCUUCUGGAUAACCGCAUGAAAGUGUGGCUAAUACGGGAUAUUCUGGGUCUGUCGCAUGAUGGGUCUGGGAAAGAUAUUGUUUCGGUGGGGGAUGGGCUCGCGGCCUAUCAGCUUGUUGGUGGGGUGAUGGCCUACCAAGGCGGUGACGGGUAGCCGGCCUGAGAGGGUGGACGGUCACACGGGGACUGAGACACGGCCCAGACGCAUACGGGAGGCAGCAGUGGGGAAUAUGGCACAAUGGGCGCAAGCCUGAUGCAGCGACGCCGCGUGAGGGAUGGAGGCCUUCGGGUUGUGAACCUCUUUCGCCAGUGAAGCAGGCCUGCCUCGUUUGUGGGUGGGUUGACGGUAGCUGGAUAAGAAGCGCCGGCUAACUACGUG
Molecule: ribosomal RNA, 494 nt
Filed under: uncultured bacterium
Lineage: Bacteria
Description: partial 16S ribosomal RNA
Rfam family: Bacterial small subunit ribosomal RNA
Source: RNAcentral